Molecule: ribosomal RNA, 253 nt
Filed under: uncultured bacterium
Lineage: Bacteria
Description: partial 16S ribosomal RNA
Rfam family: Bacterial small subunit ribosomal RNA
Source: RNAcentral
UACGUAGGGGGCAAGCGUUGUCCGGAAUCAUUGGGCGUAAAGAGCGCGUAGGCGGCCCGGUAAGUCCGCUGUAAAAGUCAAAGGCUCAACCUUUGAAUGUCAGUGGAUACUGCCGGGCUAGAGUCCGGAAGAGGCGAGUGGAACUCCUGGUGUAGCGGUGGAAUGCGCAGAUAUCAGGAAGAACACCGACGGCGAAGGCAGCUCGCUGGGACGGUACUGACGCUGAGGCGCGAAAGCGUGGGGAGCGAACAGG